AUUUUAGAUCUUAUUUUUGAAUUUUUUGAAUUUUUUAGAUUUUUUAAUAUUGUGUUUUAUUUUAUUUUUAAGUUUUAAAUUUUAUUUUUUUAUUUUUUAGAUUUUUUUAAUUUUUUUUUUCAAUUUUUCACAUUUUGUCUUAAUUUUAUUCGAAUUUUUAUGUAUUUUUAUUAUUUUUUAUUAAUAUUUUUUUUUAAACGACACUUCAUCAUUUUAACCUGUAAAAUGAACAGUACCGGUCGCCUAUGAAUAGGAAAACGUUGUUUGAGGUUUGUUAUGAUAAAAUUAUCACUUUGAAGGUUUAACGUUCUAGCAAAAAAAUUUCAGGAUUUAAAGUGUUACAAAGUGUCACUCUCAGUUUUUAAAUGCGAUUUUUCCCUUGUUAUAUAUUCUCUUGAGAGUGGCAGUAACUACAUUUGUUAUAAACGAGAGAGAAAUGCUCUCCACGUGGUGUAUAACAUGUAACAAACUAAUAAAAAUCCAAGUAACCAUGAAUUUGUGUCACCAAACGAAACCAAAUUGACAAGGAAAUCAUACAUGUCAAAUGGUGGACGCAACCAGUUCAGAUGCCCUUGACAGCUAAUAAGAAAUUUGGAAUAAGAUGGACGCCUAUGCAGCACGUAUGAAAAAUGGCACAGAUGGAACUGAGCUAGAAAAUGAUGUCCGUCUUUAUUUUCUGCAUAUGUCAAUUUUCUGAACUUGAAAAGGCUGGGUACUGUUUCCAUUGUUGAUCUUUACACUAUCUAGCUAGAUCCAGUUCGCAUUAAAAGUAAAUCUAUAAAACUGUCUUGAAGCUAAAAUGAUUCUUACUAUUUUUUCCUAACAAUGUCGAUUACAUCAACUCUAUUUUAUAGUAAACCGAGGUUUUGAUUUAACGGCUACGUAGUAGCACCUCAUUACAUUAGUCUGAUCCUAAUGGUGUGAUCUAUUGUGGAUAUGGAUCGCACUUUUCGUACAUUUUCCUUUACCUACUUUCCAAAUAUUUUUUCUUAGAGAUGCUCUGCUUUUGUCGUCUACACUUUGGGAAGAGUUCUACAUUUUUUUAAAAAGGACAGUUGUUGUUCAGAAAAAAAAGAAAGGAAAAAGACAUUUGAACAGCUGUUUGAACAGACUGUGAAUGUUGUGUGGGCUUUCGACUGGCCCAAGUUAUUGUACUCAGCUGAAUUAUUUCGUAAGACGACAUCAUUUCGGUCUUUGGUUACUGAUGAACCUGAAUUUCUGUCGUUUAGCAAAGCCUUUGUAGCUGUUGAAGGAUUUGAUUUGAUACUUCCACUCAAACUUGGUGUAUGAGACAACGCAACUCAAAGAGCUGAAAGCAAAGGGCAGAGCCUUCAAGAAGAUGUCAGCCAUCUGAAGUUCUUGAAACCAGAGUAAAGUAACAAGUUCAUGAUGCGAGACUAUUAACUUGAAGAACAUACUGUUGAAAGUAAGCUUGAAGAAAGCUUGUGGAGUAAGCUAUUCUAAAGAUAUUUGGAAUGUGAAAGAAAUAGGAAAUAUGUUUGUUUAGGAGUUAUCUAAAUAAGUUAAGCUAAUGAGAUUAGGAAGUUGAUAUUCCUAUAUAAGGAGAUGGCAAGGUGUGGCAUAACUUAUGGUUUAGAGAUUGAGAGACCAUCUUGUGAGAGCUUAAGUUUUUGAGAGAGUUUUCUUAAGCUAAUAAGAAUUGAGUUAUUCUUAA
Brassica rapa (field mustard) is the source of this 1675-nucleotide long non-coding RNA. RefSeq lists it as uncharacterized. NCBI's taxonomy places the organism in Eukaryota, Viridiplantae, Streptophyta, Magnoliopsida, Brassicales, Brassicaceae. The record is from RefSeq and is a predicted model, not a curated record.